RNAcentral lists this ribosomal RNA (465 nucleotides) under uncultured bacterium. Its description in RNAcentral is "partial 16S ribosomal RNA". It matches the Rfam family "Bacterial small subunit ribosomal RNA", at positions 338 to 795 of the family's 1533-position model. The record is from RNAcentral.
CCUACGGGAGGCAGCAGUGGGGAAUAUUGCGCAAUGGGCGAGAGCCUGACGCAGCGACGCCGCGUGAGGGAUGAAGGUCUUCGGAUCGUUAACCUCUGUCAGCAGGGAAGAACGGUCACUGUGCUAAUCAGCAGUGAAUUGACGGUACCUGCAAAGGAAGCACCGGCUAACUCCGUGCCAGCAGCCGAGGUAAUACGGAGGGUGCGAGCGUUAAUCGGAAUUACUGGGCGUAAAGCGCUCGUAGGCGGUAUGUCAAGUCAAGGGUGAAAUCCCCGCGCUCAACGUGGGAACUGCCUUUGAAACUGGCAAACUGGAGUGUGUGAGAGGAAAGUGGAAUGCCAGGUGUAGGAGUGAAAUCCGUAGAUAUCUGGCGGAACAUCAGUGGCGAAGGCGACUAUCGGGCACAUAACUGACGCUGAGGAGCGAAAGCGUGGGUAGCAAACAGGAUUAGAUACCCGAGUAGUC